This 806-nucleotide long non-coding RNA is filed under the name Marmota monax (woodchuck). Lineage: Eukaryota; Metazoa; Chordata; Mammalia; Rodentia; Sciuridae. The record is from RNAcentral.
CGGCUUUGUCUUUACACCGCAGGGGGUUGAGGACUCCGGUACUUCAAGGUCCCCGCAGCGCAGCUGAGGGAGGGGCCUGGGCUCAGAGUGGCCUGGGAUCGGAGACAGAUCCCUUGCAGGUGUGUCGAAGGCCUCUGUGGGCGGGUCGGGAGCGGGAAAGCUGGACUUUGCGACAGCCGGGUCAAAAUCUGGAGGCCGCGGCCUGCGCCGAGAGCCUAGAGGGCCUGCGGGAGGGACUUGGCAGGGAAGCCCGCCUUUUGCACAGCCGACCUUCUUCAGAAGUUGUUGUCGCGACCUGAGGGGCAACCCAGGAGGGCCCACUCUGCGGGGAAAGCAGGCCGGGCCGCCCAGAGGGAGCGGCUCUGUGUGACGUGGAGCUUGACCCGCUGCGUCCAAGUGCGUCUUCGACGCUGGCUGUAGCCAGUCUUGGCGCAGAUCCAGUGUGUGCGGCUGGAUGGGCGAGCUGAUCUCAGGGUGAUUCAAUCAUCUGUAAAAUGAUGAUGAAAGCACCCUUGAGGGUCGUUUGCUGUCCUGAAUAAGGCAGUAGAUGUAAAUAAUAAGGAAUUAAUAAAGGUGAGCUGCUUUUAUUACAAGGCAUGCUGUUGUUUUCAUUAUUGGCUCCUUUAAUCGUUGUCAGUAACCACCUCCGUUUAAUAAAUUAUAGUAUUACAGGUUCAGAGAUAUAAAUUGGUUUACUCGGAAUUAGGUAGGAUUUAAACUCUCACUGUUUUUACUCUGUAGUUAAUGCUCUUUCCUACAUUAAAAUCCAGUCUUAGUUUGUAUUUAAGCAAGCAGUUGUACUUAAG